This 8943-nucleotide long non-coding RNA is filed under the name Triticum aestivum (bread wheat). RNAcentral describes it as "long non-coding RNA (TAES_LNC011497)". The record is from RNAcentral. Lineage: Eukaryota; Viridiplantae; Streptophyta; Magnoliopsida; Poales; Poaceae.
CUACGUCUUGUUCCGGCGGCUGCACCAAUUAGGCCAUAUAUGUAUAUCCUGAGAUUAUAUCAAUGCUCAGAUGCAUGGAAGGAUGAUUAUCAUGUUGUCGGGAUAUUUGUGGCCAGUUUGCGAAUUGGUUGAGGAUGAUAUUUUGAUUGAGGAUGAUAACACUAAGCUAGUAAGAGGUGGUCUUAAUUAUUUGGCCAUGAUCGAGGAAAUGAAAUGAUCCAUGCUUUAGCCAGUUUAUGGAUUUGUUAGUCGUUGCUAUGUGUCACAGUGAUUGUUUGCUGAAUGCGUUAUAAUGUUGUAGCUUAUCAGAUGAUAUAACUAAUUAUGUCAGCUCUACUAACCUAUACAAUAAUCAAAUGCAACAAACCGUAUGUAUUUCCAAUAUCAGUUCUCAUAUUAUUAAUCCAAGUGUUCAUGUUUCAUACAAUCAAAUUUUCUUGAAUAUUGCAACCAAUUCAUGUACCAACGUGCAAGGUAUAAUCUAGUUUCUUGAAACGGUGCACCUACUUUCUGAUAAAAGAUUAAAUCAAGUGAGAUAUAUGGGAUACACAUAUUUUAAUGAUAGUACAUGGUCCAUCCUCUUACUCUGGUGGUUGGCUGCCGGUGCCUCUUCGCGCGUUGUAUUGUGUUGCUCCACACUUCGCCGCUCGAGGAAGCACAAUAUGUAGCAUAGGCGUCGAUCUGUCAUGGUCCCUACCUUUCUCUCCCUUCUCUCAUUCGUCUGGUCGGUGAUGCACCCCCCCCCCUCUCUCUCUUUGCUCACCACCAAUCAUGUAUCCUACAUAGCUAGAUUGACCCGGUGGAAUCAUGCAUGAGACAACCGUGGAUAAGAGCGAGAACCUCGUUCGCUUGAACCAGAGCAGACGAGGAGGAUUUGGGGAUCAGUUGGUUAUCUUUUUGUUGCUUGAUGAAAUCUGUUUUGUUGAACUUGCAGCAGCUUAUUCAAUAAAGUUGAAAUGGAAUUACGCCUACAAGUAGCAAAAGUCAUUUAUGAUCACACAACCCAAAUAAAUAGAUAAUAAACUUUGCCAUCACAUGCUUGAUGAGCUUCUUCUUUUGCUUGCUUAAGCCUUGCAAACUUGCAGUAAUAUGAUUGGAGACUUGAAGUGAGUGGCAAGAGAUAGCAAAUAAAUUAUAGAAUAAUGUCAAAUCUUGGCAUAGCUCAUGUGAGGUUUGUGAUUAACUGAAACACUUCAAGCAUGAAGCAUGUAUACCUCAAAAAAUUAGUACAAUGGCAAGGUAGAGACAUGUUGACACUUGAUGCAUGAUUCAUCAUAAUAUUGCAAUGAGUUCAGAACUCACGAGAUAAAACUACAUGUGAGUUCACAUCUUGCAUAAGUGAUAUUUGUAGCCUCCUCUUUGGAGUCGUCUUCUUUGCUAAAGCUGCAGUGGGUAUCCUCUCUAGACUAGUUCUAGUUUGUGAUGAAAUACUUCUCCGAGAAAGAAAGCAAGGAGGAUGCACAUAUACAUGCUAUCAAAUUUAUAUAAGUAUUUUGUUUCUCAUUUUUUUACAUUGUCGAACAUGUAACUAUUUGUUGUUUACCUUCUAGCGAAUACGCCCGGAUUGUCGUGUAGUAUUUGUUCUCUACCUAGCUUUUGCGGGUUGCUAGAUUCACCUAUCAUAGCUUUUGUAUUGCUCUUUAUAGGUUUUCUAUUCUUAAAAUUAAAGAAAACAAGCUUUAUUUUUUGGCAUGAGGUGAUAAUUUAAGCUUUGAACGAAAAAAAUGACAAUUGCCUUCUCUUGGUUCUAAGUGAGCACUUGUAACUAGCUUGCCUAUGACCCUUUGUGCCACAUUUCUUGCAAGUCACUAGGCCUCUAAUCAUUUUCUUCACCUUGCAUUUGUGGGAGUAGUGCUACCAUUCUUGGAACCUUUCUUCAUGUGGCCACCUUCAAGGCAAUCCUUUAAUCCUCAUUUUUCUUUAUCUUCUUUUAUUUCUAGUCUUAAGUAUUGUCACCACAACAAAUGGAAGCUCCAACCAUGACCACUAUGAUUUUUUCUAUCGCUGGCUCAAUCUAUCUCCCAUAAGAGCCUUGAAAUUAUCCACAAAGUAGUACUAAUGCACAAAACUGUUCAAGGCAUUUUUGUGAGCUAGUUCAGCAACAUGCAAGUCCUCAAAGUCUCUGCUCAAGUUGUAGAAAACUCUCGAUAUAUUAUUAGUGAUGUAGUCACACUUGAUUCCCGGAAUGAAGACAUACCUUAUCGAUUUGAGAGUGAUAUCGACUUAAUCAAAGUCAUACCUCAUUUGAUUCUCCAAUAGUUGUGUCCAUAAGUUACGUGAACACGUCUUUCAUAUAAGCCAUUGCGGCAGAAAACGUCCUUCUGAAACCCCGGGACCUCUUUGCAAAAUUAUUCAUAAGGUGAAAAAACAUUCCCCUUGUUCAACAUUAUAAAAUAUAUUCUUCAUUGCAUUCUAUAAGCCUUUGCAAGCAUUUUUAAGUUGAUCCAUAAACCAAGUUCGAUUGUGUUCAGUAUCAGAAGCUAUAAACAAUAGGCAAGUGGAUACAUCCAAUUGUGGCCAUCAAUUACCCUCAGCUACAAAAAUCCAACUCUACUUCCAAAGGCUUAGAGAAUGCGGUGGAGAAUGUAUUUCCCAAUGCUGAAUAAAGGGAAUGUUUUCCCAUGUUAUGGGGAAUUUUGUGAAAUGGUUCCGUGUGUUUGGAAGGGUGUAUCUUGUGGCAUGGGCUUAUAUGGGAGAGGUGUUCACAGAACAUAUGGAAGCAAUUAUUUGAUAAUAAAAUGGGGUAUGGCUUUUGUUAAGUUAGUGCAUACUCUCAAGUGGGCGAGGUGUGUCUUCAAUCCAGACAUUAAGUGUGAGCUCAUCUCUAGUAACAUAGGAGGGGUUUCCAACAACUGGUUCAGAGAUAUUACGAACUUAUUGCUGAACUAGCCGACACGAUUAGAGGGAUGAUCAUGGGUCUCUAGAGGACAAGGAGAAGGCUUGGAGGAAGACUGCCAUUUGGACCGAUCCUACUUAUGGGGAAGAGGGAAAAUACUAGAGGUUUGGGGAACUUGAAAGUUGUGAAAUCUGUUAACUAGAGUGUAGAGAUUUGAUAAAAUAUCAAAACUUAUUGAAAGGCAUAUUGUGAAGCUCAAUCAUAAGAUGUGUAGUUUUGCCUUGAAGGGCAGAACACAUACAAGCAAUGUCAACAUGUCUUGCCUUUGUGUCAUCAUAAAAGGGAGUAGAUCUUGAACAGUUUAUGCAUAUGUGUACUAUGUGGGCAGAUUCAAGGAUGUUAUAUGGGAGAGAGAUUGAGCCAAUGAUAGAGAAAUCACAAUGGCCACGAGUGGAUCUAUCAUUUGAUGUGGUGCCACCACUUCAAAAUAGAAAUAAAGAAGGACAAAAAAUGGAGGAUUCAAAGGAUGUGUUAAGGAGGUCACAAGGUGUCACUGAUGAUAGCACUGGUCCCACAAAUGCCAAGGGGAAGAAAAUGAUUAGAUGCCUAGUGAUUUGCAAGAAAUUUGGUUAAAAGUAUCAUAGGCAAGCUAGUUACAAGUGUCCACUUAAUUGAACCCAAAAAGACAAUUGGCAUUCUUUCAUUCAAAGCUUGAAUUAUCACCUCAUGACAAAAGUUUAUUGUUUAAUUCAAGAAAGAGGAAGCCUAAAAGGAACAAUACAUAAGGUAUGCAAGGUGAACCGAACACCCCACAAAGGCCAACUAGAGAACAAAUACUACGGGACAGUUAAGCCAUGCAUUAGAAGGCAAUCAACGAAUAGUUAUAUGUUUAGCAAUGUAAAAAACAAAACAAUUUUCUUAUAUAUAAAUGCCAUAACAUAUAUGUGCAAUUGCCUUGCUUUAUUGCUAACAGAGGGUAUUUAUUCACAAACCAGCAUAACUACUCCAGAGAGGAUACUAGUUGCAGCUCUAGCAAAGAAGAUGGCUACAAAGAGGAAGCUACCAAUUGGAUGACAAAUCUCCAUUAAAUUUACUAUUCAAGCUGUGCAUCCACAUGGGCUGCUCUUUUAAGCGUUAUCUUCAGUUGCCUAUAAAAAUGCAAAAGUACAUCACCUAUUGGUAUAUUUUUUACCAAUAUUACUUGGUAUCAAGGUUACGUGAAAUCCUUGAAAUCGAAUUGGGAUAUAUGAGACGGCCUCCACGCUCACGAUACAUAUUAUAAAUUAGAAAGUAGUAUCAAAGCCUAAGUAUACUAAAACGCCAUGAUCCACAAGAACCUUGGAUCGACAAUAUUUGUGAGACGACACUAAGAAACCAUAUGUGUUUCCGAAUGAUGAUAAGCAUCCUACUGAUUUUGCAACAUGCUAGACAAAAAACAAUUUGAAUUGAAGAAUUCCACCAUACCUCCUUGCUUUCUCCUUCCACAAACAUAAGACUUCCAAUGCAUCGGCAUGUACCUCUUGCAUGGAUAUAACACCUGUUGAUUUGUUAAAUCUGGAAAAGCUAUUGAACUUCAUUCUUGUGCACAAUUAAACGCCAUGUCUAACAAAUGUUGACUUCCACCUGCCAAAACAAUGGUUUAAACUAUAGUAAACAUACAAUCUGUCAUAUGUACCUCAGUACUCGAGUUUCUACAUGAAUGUAUAGCUUAUUGUGUUGAAAAUCUACAAAGAUAGACUAGUGUAAUCGGAAAUCCAACUCGGUGCCGAGGCUCAUCUGCUCCCGCUCAGAAAAAAAUCAAAACAAAUACUAGAGAAAUUCAAAAACAUCCAAAUUUUUUGUGUGUGGUAGAUAAUUUGAUUCGUGAGGUCGGCUUCAAAUUUCAACUCAUUUGGACAUCUGAGUAGCUCUCGGCAAAAAAGACCAAUUGCGUCAGAACAGUGCGUGAAUAGUAAACUUUUUUACAGACCUUGAAUUUGUCUUUUUUUUCCGAGAGCUUCUCAGAUGUCCAAAUGAGUUGAAAUUUGGAGCAGACCUCACGCAUCAAAUUAUCUAGCACACAAAAAAAUGGAUUUUUUUUGAAUUUUUCUAGUAUUUGUUUUGAUUUUUUUCUAAGAGUGGGUGCAGAUGAGCCGGGAGCAGAAACUCCGCGUCCGUGUUGCAUAGAGGCUCUUUAUCCGAACUACAUUUGCUAGCACCAAAAGAUAAGAAAUGGUCGUGAACUAAAUAAAUAUGAAAGUGGUUAAUUGAAAAUACCACACUACUAUGGCACCAAUUCUUUGAAACCGUGAUAUGCAUAUAAAAUGGCAUUUGGUGCAUCUUAGCUAAUAAUAGUACAUGUGUUGAGUCUGUAAAAAUAAUUAAGAAGUUUUGAAGAUGUAAUGUAAGGUUUGGUAACCGCAGCCCAUAUUUACAUUUAGAGGGAUAUGCAAAACUUGAAAAAGGAAAAUGGAAGACACUAUUAUAGAAGUACAGAGUGUCCAUUGCUAACCUCCAACUUUUGUCAUAUCCGAAUCAGAUCACCACUACAAUGACUUCAAAGCAUUUUCAAUUUGAAACCGUACACCAAAAUAUUUCAGCUAGUACAAUGGAGAAUUUCCAAUUCCUAGUAGAUAGAUGUUCAGGUUGUAGUAUUCUCCACACAAUCAUUUGAGAAUCUUCUUAUGCUCAUGCAGAGAUUGAUAACGCAUAAUGUGCAUAUUCUCAUCUCACACACAUAGAUCACCUUCUGUGCAGAGCUAAGUCUAUUAAUAUAUCAUCUCGUUCCAUCGCUGCCGCAUCGUAUAUGAGUUUGACAACAUGUCAGGUACUACAGAAGGAAUCUAAAAUGGACAUCAGCGAGAAGAAGUGUGGCAUAUGCAUUAUAUUGGUUUAUGAAAAUAGGUGAUAGAAGAGCCUAUUGUCAUUUUAGCACAGAAAAUACCUCUAGAAACCGAGUCAAUGUUUCUAUAUACUCUGUUUAGUGCAAAUUAACACGGGCUUACUUUUUGUACCAAAGUGGAAAAAAACGCAUGGCUCGGUUACUCGGAGUUUGCAUUCGUAGAAAAGGCAGAACAAAUAAUUUACCGUGGAGCAUAUACAUAAGUGACAACUCUUGCAGACCUUGCCUAUAAUAAAUUAGCAAAAAUACAAAACGAAAUUACUAAGGUGAACGUGGUUCCACAUGCACCUAUGUAAAUAGUAAAUAAAAAAUACUCGAAUUUUUAUUAAAAAAAUCUGAAAUUUUGAGGUAUCAAACUUGGUCGACCCGACCAUACUCAUGUGUGAAGUUCGGUGCAGGAGGGACACCCGGUGUAUUUCUUAGUGAAGAAAAUAUAAUCCAACCAUACUGUUCCUGUCAAACAGUGCUUUUGAAUAAAACUUCCAUCUGUCAUUUUGCCCAAAAUACCACGGAUGUCAUUUCUUCGUGAAACUUCAUACGCGAGUACACAAUCGACCAUGUAUAUUACAGAAAAAGUCUGAUUGUUUUUCUCUUUUUCUAGUUUUUUUGGAUUUACUAUUUAUAAGGGAUGCACGUGGAACCACGUUCCACAAAUCCGCGUCUAAUUACACAAACCUUAAAAAACAGUAGCUUCAAGGAAAUAAUUUGCUAAAAAACAAGUGUAAUUUUCAAGGAAAAUAGGAUUUUUAGGACACCAUUACAGAAGACCAAAACAAAAUUCAUGGUAAAGCACAUACUUUUAGGUCCAUUAGAGAAACAAAAUACCCGUACGUGUUCCUUUUCUUCCAAUAACGUUCGUGUUUUGCAGUGCAUCUAUCUAAAACCACUUUCUUGGCAAGCAAACAAUUCACCAAACACUUUAGAGUGCAUUGCCUAAUGCCUGUAGUCGAUAUCAGAAGUAAAUAAGGAGGUAGAGGAGGAACGAUUGGACCUGCAGCAUGCAGGCCAUGCGCAUCGUGUAUGUCUCGACAAGUUGCUGAACAUUACCUUUCUUGUGAUUCAUACCCAUCCUCCUCUGUUGCCUGCCUCAUCCACCAUGGCGCUGACUACGGCGGCUCCUUCCUUCUCCUCCCCGUCCUCCAAUCUAUCAUGGAAACACCGGAGCUGAUGGACACCGAGAGAAAGAAAGAAGAGGCGGGGGGCUGCGGCGACGCGGGUGACGGAGAGAGGCGCCGUGGAUGAGCUCGUGAGGUGACGGAUAAAUGCAGAGGGGACAGCUGACCGGGAUGAGGUCGUGGGAUGAUCUGGUGUCCGUGACCCGAGGGCCGAGAGUUGCGUCCAACCCUUGGCUUGGCACCAGAUCUAAUAUACAAAUCAACGGCUGGAGAAUAAUUCAAACGGUGAUCGGACGGGCCAGCUUUCGUGAUGGCAUGAGUUUAUCCCGAUUAAACGUGGGUCGAACCUCUUUAAGUUUGACGAGCUUUAUAGAAAAAAAUGUUGAUAUCUUACAACUGAAUUUUGGUCAGGCUCGCUAAGGACAUUUUCAAUGCCAACCCUCAAACCGCGCCCAAACAUCCGGUCCGCAUGGUUCAAUGUGAUGCGUCAUCCAACGCGGUUCUGCAUCGGUCCGCAAGGUGAUAUAGACAUACUUUUUCCCGUAAACCGAGGACAAAUGUGAGGGCUUUGCAGGUGUCUAGACAACAGCCGCGCCCGCUUCUGACCAUCCUGACCCACCCCAAACAUUCUCCCUCGCCCGCGCGAGUCCCAUCCGGCGCUAGCUACCUGCAUUUAUGUCAUCGUAGAACGGCCGCUCCACAUUGAAGUCGGCUCAGAGCAGACACGGACUCUCACUGCCUCCACCAUUGAAGCGACGCGCAAGCUGAGGGCGCCGCCUGCUGCACGUCCGGCUAAAUACGCCUCUUCGCUGCAUUCAAACGUCUCCACUAAACCCGCGCGUGUGCUCGGAAAACUACUCCGGCCAUAUGUCCGUUCACAAGCGGGUCGACGUUAACCAUAACUCCGGAGUAGCUCCUCCCGUGAACCCGCUAUUUAAAGGAGGCCAGACGUCGGGCAAGUAUUGCACCACUUCGUUGCUCCCAUCUUCAUCUUUCACCAAUAUAUCCAUCCUUCUGAUGGCAUCCGACGAGCAGGAAGACCAGUUCUCCAGCAUAAAAGCCAGCUGGGAGACCCACCAAGCUCGUUGGAUACGAGCAAGGCAACUCACUGCUCUACCUCCCUCCCUAGCCUGACGGAGCAAGCUGUCGCUCCAAGCCGGUGCGUGGUUAAGAACCUCGUCGCUCCAAGCCAACUCGCGGAAGAGUGGCGAGUAGCUCCAGGCAACACGCGGGGGAGCACGGCGAAACGGGCAUCAUGGAUACCAUGGAUGAGGCCAGACAUAUGGCCAUCCACCGUCAACGUUGUUGGAACGCAUUGGUCAAUGGAGAAAAACGUGGAGAUCGAUGAGUCGGUGGCCAGCGCGUCCACGCCGCCGCCACUGCCAUCAUUGAGGAGAAGUAGAACGCGGUAGGCCGCCGUCGCUUGGGUCCCAGGAAGGCCACUGCCGGCGCGUCGUCGGCGUGAACAUGACUUGCCCAGUUCAGCGCAGACCAUCAUCGAUCCUCGCCUCGGCUUCACAGAAGCGGAGUAGGCACCCAUCUCCUCCGGACAUAGGGAAGAUACAGGGGAAGAAUAUACCUCCGGGGCUCCCAACAGUCCGAUGAGCGGGUUGCCGGAUAUGGAAAAGACAAAGGGAUCCGUUGUGGCUGGCCGUAGACUAGUGUAGUGUAUCCAUGUCGCUGGAGUGGAGCUCCGCGUACACAUAAUUUUGCCUUUUUAGUUAAAAUGUCCAAAAUGUGAAUGUUUUCAUCCAGUUUGUAUGAAAUCAAUCGUGUUUGCACGAAUUUUAUCUGGUUGGAUCAAAAAGUUAUUGAAAUGUAUGCGAGCAGCGUUCGAUGGCCUCCUCCCGCAUCCGUGUGCGCGCUCUAGUACCCCUGUCCGUGGACGAAUGCAGGAUGCAAUUUGCGGGUCGCUGUUGGAGAUGCCCUAAGCUUUUGAUGCUUUAUCCCUAAAAAACUUUUAACGCUUUAAAAGUUAUCAAAAAAUAUGAAAUAAAUAUAGGAGCAUCACUCUUAAAUUAUGUCUAUCAUAUCUUAUCACCAAACUUGUUGAUGCUAGCUAAGCUUUUAACAGAUCCUCUACUUCCUCCUGUAACCACCAAAAAAAAAAA